This 376-nucleotide unclassified non-coding RNA is filed under the name uncultured Gammaproteobacteria bacterium. RNAcentral describes it as "contains 16S-23S intergenic spacer region". The record is from RNAcentral. Lineage: Bacteria; Pseudomonadati; Pseudomonadota; Gammaproteobacteria.
UCCGGUUUGUCACCGGCAGUCUCAUUAGAGUGCUCAACUGAAUGUAGCAACUAAUGACAAGGGUUGCGCUCGUUGCGGGACUUAACCCAACAUCUCACGACACGAGCUGACGACAGCCAUGCAGCACCUGUGUCCAGGUUCCCUUUCGGGCACCCCUCCAUCUCUGAAGGGUUCCUGGCAAGUCAAGGGUAGGUAAGGUUCUGCGCGUUGCGUCGAAUUAAACCACAUGCUCCACCGCUUGUGCGGGCCCCCGUCAAUUCAUUUGAGUUUUAGCCUUGCGGCCGUACUCCCCAGGCGGUCAACUUCACGCGUUAGCUUCGUUACCAAGGAAUUACUUCCCCGACAACCAGUUGACAUCGUUUAGGGCGUGGACUAC